RNAcentral lists this ribosomal RNA (337 nucleotides) under uncultured Pseudomonadota bacterium. RNAcentral's name for it is "bacterial SSU rRNA". It matches the Rfam family "Bacterial small subunit ribosomal RNA", at positions 29 to 351 of the family's 1533-position model. The record is from RNAcentral. Lineage: Bacteria; Pseudomonadati; Pseudomonadota.
AACGAACGCUGGCGGCGUGCCUAACACAUGCAAGUCGAGCGAGAAAGCCCGCAAGGGUGAGUAAAGCGGCGCACGGGUGAGUAACACGUGGGUAAUCUGCCCUGGAGUCCGGAAUAACUCGCCGAAAGGCGUGCUAAUGCCGGAUAAGACCACGGGAGCCUCGGCUCCUGUGAGAAAAGGUGGCCUCUGUACACAAGCUAUCGCCCCAGGAUGAGCCCGCGUCCCAUCAGCUAGUUGGCGGGGUAACGGCCCACCAAGGCUACGACGGGUAGCUGGUCUGAGAGGACGAUCAGCCACACUGGAACUGAGACACGGUCCAGACUCCUACGGGAGGCAG